CCGUCAUGUAAUACCACAGGAUGUAGCUACUCCUGAAAAGUCCUCUCUCUCCAGACCAAGAAUAACACAGGCUAAUGUUUUGUACUCAGAUUGUAGAGACUACUGGAUGAACUGACGGGAUGGGGGAAAUCAUCAUAUUAUCGUAUCCAAGAUGGCUGUGUACUCUAACAUCGAGGAUGCUGGGUAUACAGCCUUUACCCUCUGACCCUGCCUCAACCUCCAAAGGCAUCUCCUGUAGCUGUUGCCGUGUUGGGCGGGUGCUCUUUCUGCUUCUGUUGCCACCGAAGCAUCGUCUCCCUCGCUUCAUGUUUCUCUCUAAACAGACCGUGAAACAUCUUCCGUGACCGAGCAUGAUCUAUAUAGACAUUGAAGACGUGAAUUGUGACGUGGCCUAUGAAAUGGCAUUAGAAAUAUGACACAUUAAAUGUAAAUAAUUGUUUUCAUCCCCCCCAUCUUCCUUUCAUCACAGAACCUCACUGUUUUGUCAUUUGUUGCAGACAAAAUUAUACACAUGUAAUUGAACAAUUUGAUAGUGUGCUAAUUGGAAUUCAUUCUCAGUUGCAGGGGUCAUGGGCUAAAAAGUGAUGAUGAUUGUGAUGAUGAUAUGGAGACACUGUCCCAAUCAAUCACAUUUUGGAAUAUAGUUUAAAAUGAUAUUGAAGUGAUAUGACUAACUUUAAUGUGCAAAGAUGCCCAACCAUGUUGUAUGUAUUGUAUGUUUUCUUUGACAGACAACCACCAUUUUCCUCACCAUUCCGUGUUUAUCCUCUUUUAAUCUGACAGUUUUCAGGUUAUAAAUAAAAGACAAUGCUCUUUUGAGGCAACAAGA
Molecule: long non-coding RNA, 829 nt
Organism: Oncorhynchus nerka (sockeye salmon)
Lineage: Eukaryota; Metazoa; Chordata; Actinopteri; Salmoniformes; Salmonidae
Exons: 2
Source: RefSeq, a predicted model, not a curated record